GUUACUAAUUUAUCCUUAGUAGUUUUAACUAUAUUCCAAGUUUUAUAUCCUUCAUUGUAAUUUCAUAACAAAAAAAUAUAGAAAGAAUAUAAGAUAAAUACAAUAAAAACAUGAUAUGCUUAGAAAUAUGAAUAAAACAGAUUAUAGAUAGGAACAAAACACAAAUAAUAACAAUAAAACGAUAAUUUGUUUUAAAAAAAAUAAUAAAACGACAAUACUAAUAAAAAAGAUUAUAUAUAAUUUAUGCGUAAAAAUAGGAUCAAAAUAUAACAAUAAAAAAAUUAUAGAGUUUUUUAAAAUAUUUUUUAAAUUUUUUAAGGGGCCG
RNAcentral lists this long non-coding RNA (325 nucleotides) under Trifolium pratense (red clover). Its description in RNAcentral is "long non-coding RNA (TPRA_LNC006433)". The record is from RNAcentral. Lineage: Eukaryota; Viridiplantae; Streptophyta; Magnoliopsida; Fabales; Fabaceae.